AUUCGACUUAGUUAGGAGGCAGAAAUUAAAAGAAAUCUAAUGUUUAUUAGUUUUUCACUCAUAGAUAGGCAUAUUGAAGAUUCAAUUCUGUUCUUCAUAUCAGUUUUUCUUCAAACAGCCUUUCAUAUUU
This is a small nucleolar RNA of Vicia villosa (hairy vetch), 130 nucleotides long. RefSeq annotates it as small nucleolar RNA U19. Lineage: Eukaryota; Viridiplantae; Streptophyta; Magnoliopsida; Fabales; Fabaceae. The transcript has a single exon. The record is from RefSeq and is a predicted model, not a curated record.